Molecule: ribosomal RNA, 384 nt
Filed under: uncultured Methanolinea sp.
Lineage: Archaea; Methanobacteriati; Methanobacteriota; Methanomicrobia; Methanomicrobiales; Methanoregulaceae
Description: bacterial SSU rRNA
Rfam family: Archaeal small subunit ribosomal RNA
Source: RNAcentral
AGGCUGAAGACUUUUGCCGGAUUAGCUGAGAGGUGGUGCAUGGCCGUCGUCAGUUCGUACUGUGAAGCAUCCUGUUAAGUCAGGCAACGAGCGAGACCCACGCCAACAGUUGCCAGCAUGUCCUCCGGGAUGGUGGGGACACUGUUGGGACCGCCUCUGCUAAAGAGGAGGAAGGAAUGGGCAACGGUAGGUCAGCAUGCCCCGAAUUAUCCGGGCUACACGCGGGCUACAAUGGUCAGGACAAUGGGCACCAACACCGAAAGGUGAAGGCAAUCUCUUAAACCUGUCCUUAGUUCGGAUUGUGGGCUGCAACUCGCCCACAUGAAGCUGGAAUCUGUAGUAAUCGCGUCUCAAAAUGGCGCGGUGAAUAUGUCCCUGCUCCUU